RNAcentral lists this ribosomal RNA (400 nucleotides) under uncultured Escherichia sp. RNAcentral describes it as "bacterial SSU rRNA". It matches the Rfam family "Bacterial small subunit ribosomal RNA", at positions 993 to 1394 of the family's 1533-position model. Lineage: Bacteria; Pseudomonadati; Pseudomonadota; Gammaproteobacteria; Enterobacterales; Enterobacteriaceae. The record is from RNAcentral.
GAUAAAGAAUUUUAGAGAGAUGUGCCUUCGGGACCGUGAGACAGGUGCUGCAUGGCUGUCGUCAGCUCGUGUUGUGAAAUGUUGGGUUAAGUCCCGCAACGAGCGCAACCCUUAUCCUUUGUUGCCAGCGGUCCGGCCGGGAACUCAAAGGAGACUGCCAGUGAUAAACUGGAGGAAGGUGGGGAUGACGUCAAGUCAUCAUGGCCCUUACGACCAGGGCUACACACGUGCUACAAUGGCGCAUACAAAGAGAAGCGACCUCGCGAGAGCAAGCGGACCUCAUAAAGUGCGUCGUAGUCCGGAUUGGAGUCUGCAACUCGACUCCAUGAAGUCGGAAUCGCUAGUAAUCGUGGAUCAGAAUGCCACGGUGAAUACGUUCCCGGGUCUUGUACACACCGAG